GUGGCUGGUUCAUUCCUAAGGAUGAUUUUUCCACUUGACGCAACCGACAGAAGGACAUGUGCUUCUGCUUCAAGCUACUCUGCACAGAGCAGCACCUUUGCUUAAAGCUACCUUCAUUAGUGGUUUACAAUGUCUCUCACUGGGUUAACUUAAAGUCAUGAUUGCUUGUCAAGGACAGGUCAGGAUCCAGAUAUCACAAACUGAGCAUAAGUCUAUGGUUAUAAUCACUAAUGUGGAGGAACAGAGAUCAGGCUGUUCUGUGGCUCUCUAGGACUCAUAGAAUCAUAAAAUAUCCUGAGUUUGAAGGGACCCACAAGGAUCAUCAAGUCUGAUGUGAAACUCAACCCUUUGGCUAAAGAGAAUUUAGAAGAUGCUGGCUUCAAUUGGAACCUGAUAUAUGACACCAUACAGUGGCAUAUCCAAACAGAAAUCAGGUUUUCAGCUGAAGAUUAGUCAGUUCUUAGGCAUCAUUUUUCAUAAAUUUUAAAUAA
Long non-coding RNA from Empidonax traillii (willow flycatcher), 491 nucleotides. RefSeq lists it as uncharacterized. The record is from RefSeq and is a predicted model, not a curated record. Lineage: Eukaryota; Metazoa; Chordata; Aves; Passeriformes; Tyrannidae. The transcript has 3 exons.